GGAUGCGAUCAUACCAGCACUAAUGCACCGGAUCCCAUCAGAACUCCGCAGUUAAGCGUGCUUGGCGAGAGUAGUACUAGGAUGGGUGACCCCUGGGAAGUCCUCGUGUUGCAUCCC
This 117-nucleotide ribosomal RNA is filed under the name Ananas comosus (pineapple). Lineage: Eukaryota; Viridiplantae; Streptophyta; Magnoliopsida; Poales; Bromeliaceae. The record is from RNAcentral.